Molecule: long non-coding RNA, 7205 nt
Filed under: Zostera marina
Lineage: Eukaryota; Viridiplantae; Streptophyta; Magnoliopsida; Alismatales; Zosteraceae
Description: long non-coding RNA (ZMAR_LNC003529)
Source: RNAcentral
UCACCGGUGCGGCCAGCCGAUCCUGCCGUUCAUCUCCCCUGAAAUUCUCGACCGUUCAUUUAAACUUCCCUCCACUCAAUGCCCGAUUAGACGUAAGCCAUGCCCUGCAAGUCUCUGUGAAUCAACCCUUACCUCGCACUGUUCAUUCCGUGCGAUGACCACCAUCUUCUACCGCUUCAUUACCAGGUCCACCAAUAAAUUUAUCCUCAUUUACAUUGGAAACCCAUCGCCGGAACGACGCAUCGCCUUUUGCCUUGCUAUUCAUUUCAGUCAAGUUUUCCUCUGCAAAUCGAAGCAACCGUCGACGUGAUCAGGGCAGACUUUUGGAACAGUCCACCCAUAAAUCAAAUCAACCGUCGACCCAUAAAUCGAACAUCAUUUACAUUGGAAAACCAUCGCCGGAACGACGCAUCGCCUUUUACCUUGCUAUUCAUUUCCGUCAACUGUAUCUCUGCAAAUCAAAGCAACCGUCGACGUGAUCAUUUCCUACAGCAAGUUUCCGAGUUAAUUAAAAUCAGGUAUCAUACAUGAUCUUCAUCUCGUGAAACCCAAAAUUUAUUUUGGAAUCCCUAGUCGUAUACAUUUAGUUAAAGUAAUUGUGUCACUCCCAUAUGUAUUGUCUUCCUAAUCUCUUAAUCUUUAUUAUUGGAAUUACCCAUUAUGUUUAGAUUGCAUUGGGGGAUCGUUUUCUCCCUUCUUCCCCCCUGAAACCACGUUCAAAAGUCAUUAAUUUGAUCUGUGGAUGGGGCUUUCUAACAUAAUCAUUUCAUCUAUGAAAUAUACCUUGUCGUUGUUCCUUUGAAACCUGAUCAGUUCUUACAAAGCUCUUAGUUGCUGCUUAAUGGUGAAGCUUAUUGGGAAAUAGAUUUCACAUGGAUUGCUGCUGUUCCAUGAACACCGAGACAUGAAAGCUGCAACCAUUGAUGUCAUCGGCAAACAAAACAAAUUCAUUUCAUAUAUAAUUCUUCCAUAGCAAUUGAUAACAACUAGUAAUGAAACCGCUAACAAAAUGUGAUAUGAACAAUCAGAAUUCAGUGCAAUGGUAGGAGAAUGUUUAUUGAUAUUGCUGUGUUCUGUCUUGGCAUAGAUCAACUAGAAUGGGAAUGAGAUUUUUCUUGUGAGAUACAUUUAAUUGUUAAAAGUCCUUAAAAAUUCUCAAGUUACUGAAUAAAAAAUUCCACUUUUUUUUGAAAGCAUACAAAUUCAUAAAAGUAAAGUAUGAAAUAUUAAACAUGAAACAGUUAUUUCUUGAUUAUGUUUUUUUUUUAUCUUGUUCUUUUGCAUUAUAAUUUCUCUUCUUCUAAGUGAAUCCCUCAAUGUGGUAUUAGUUUGCCCUGAAGUGAUCCUAAUAGUUGCAUUUUUUACAAAGUAUAUCAGUUGAAAUUUACACAAAAAAAACAUUUAACCUGAUGGGUUGUUUUAUUGUGUCAGUCUAAGUUAUGUGUCUAGUAGCAUGCUUAUCCUUCCAAAAAUCUUGCAAAAUAGAAGGUCACUAAAAAUCUUAUGUCUAACAAAAAUAACUCUAAAACCAUACGAUGUAACCAAUAAAUUGAAAAUUGAAACCAAGAAAAUUAAAACCAAGAAAUUCUGCUGCUUCACCUAAUUAUUUAGUUCAUUUAAUAAAAAUUUGACGAAAAACGAUUGAUUUUAGUGUCCCUAAUUUGUCCAUCACCAAGUUUUUAUUAUUUUCUUUGUAACCAAGCUAAUAUUUCUUCUGUACAUCAUAGUUACUUUAUUAGAUUUAAAUUAAAUUGAAUGCCAAAUUUCCGUCAGCUAGUCAAAAUAUCCCUGAUUCAUCAAUAUAUUCUGUGUAGGAUCUUCCCCAUCGAUUGUAACAAAAUUAAGCGGCAAUGGUUAUUAUAACCUCCUUGGUAAGUAUUCUAUCUUUCAUAGCAUUUUAACUAUUUUUCUAUAAUUUCUAUGUGUGUGCAUUAGUUUCAUCAUUAAUUUUGGGCAUUCUAUAUUUUCUUAUUGUAACUCUAUAUUUUUAUAAUCCGUAUUUUUUUCUAGUUUACGCGUUGAUUAAUUUGUUUGAUUCGUCAGUGAUUUUUUUUUUUUUGAAUUUUAUAAGACUUUCAAAAGUCAUCUUGUAUUUUAGCAACACAUCAAUUUUAGUUCUAAGAAUCUUGAAAUUAAUGUAUUAGACUGACCCUCGCAUCUAUUAAGUAGUCAUCUGUAUUAUCAACAAAUUAGAGCGAUUGGGAUAAAAGACCUUUUCUGAUUUUCAUAAAUUAGAAAUUUAGUCUUGUCUGAUGAAAACUUAAUUUAGAAUUUGUAUUUGUGUAUUGUAUAUUACAUGAACUUGCCUAAUUAACUCUUAAGUUUGCUGAGUUUAGGAUUAUAAUAUCAUGACUUCGAUUUAGUUUUCAUGUAAAUAUAUAAUAAUUUAUAUAAAAUUCAUCAAAUUAUUAAUCUUAUUUUCCUGAAAAUAUAAUUUGCCAUAUUACAUAAUUAACCAAAAAAAUAGCAGUAAACAAGAUAAUAUAUAAUAUGUAACAAAGCUACUAAUUCUUCUGUACAUCAGAGUGAAUUAAUUAAAUUAUAAUUAAAUUUUAUACAAAAUGUUCCUUGUGAAAGUUCAAUAACACAUUUGUAAUUAAUGAAGCCUAGCUAUGUAAAUCUACAAUUAAUAAUUCUGUCAUAUAAUAUAUCAUAGCUAUUUUACAUCUAGAAAUAGUUUUCAUAAAUAUUAAGAAUUUUGUGUCAAACCAAUAUCAACUAAGCAUAUCCAUAAAUGAACUUCUUCUAUUGAGUAAAUUUUAUAUUAAAUAUAACUUAUAAAUUUAUUGUUAUAGUCAUUUGAUUUAUCUGAUUCUUAUGAAAAUAAGUAAAAAUUUAAUGGAUUUUUGCAGACCUUUAAUAUUAUUGUUUUUUUUUACCAACAUAUCAAAAUUGUGGAUGUUGUGGUUGCCCACUUCAACAAACUACUCCUAUUGUUCUAUUUUACUUGCAUUCCUAGUGAUCAUUUAACUAGUACCUUAGCCUCAGGAUGUUAGUCUCCCAAAUCUUCAUAUUGGCUAUGACUCAAUUUAGAAGACCCCAAAACAUGUCCAAGAGUGGCUCGAGCUAGCUCAAGCUUGUGUCCUCAAUUUCUGAGCAAAUUAUGACUCAUAUCAUGGAUUUUUCCACUAACGAUAUUAUGACUCAUAUCAUGUCCUGUUUCAUUCUGAGUAUUUACAUCAUUUUCUCCAUGAUAUUCAGAAAAUGAAUCAGUCUGAUUUUUUAGAUCAUAGUGCUGCAUUUGGGUAUUUUCCUCAAAUGUUGGUUGUCCUAAAUUGCAGAAUGAUUUAAUUGGGUCAGGCUGGAUUUUUCCAGUUAUAUCUGAUCAAUAUUGUGUGUUUAGAAUGUUUUUAGGGUGGUAUUUCCAGUCAUAUCUGAUCCAUUGCUUAUUUUGUUCUGAUUUUUGACAUUCUUUUGAUUAAAAACUAAUGUAUCUUGGUUUAAAAUAGCAUCUUGAUUUAAAAUUUUAUUCCCUGUUUUGUUUUAAAAAAAUUUCAGUAUUUUCCUCAUUAAAGACCGGUGCAUUUUGGUUUAAAUAAACAUUUUAAUUUAGGGAAUUAUUUCCUGUUUUAUUCUGAGUAUUUACAUCAUUUUCUCCAUGAUAUUCAGAAAAUGAAUCAGUCUGAUUUUUUAGAUCAGAGUGCUGCAUUUGUGUAUUUUCCUCAAAUGUUGGUUGUUCUAAAUUGAAGAAUGAUUUAAUUGGGUCAGGCUGGAUUUUUCCAGUUAGAUCUGAUCAAUAUUCUGUGUUUAGAAUGUUUUUAGGGUGGUAUUUCCAGUCAUAGUGCUGCAUUUGGGUAUUCCCUAUUUCAAUUAUUCCCUAUUUUCCUCAAAUAAUUAUUCCCUAUUUCAAUUGGGAUGUUUUCUUCAUUUUCUUUACUAAAACUUAAUGCAUUUUGAUUUAAAUCAAUGUUUUGAUUUAAAUCUUCAUUCCCUGUUUCAAUCCUAUUUUCUUCAUUAAAAACCAUUGUAUUUUGGUUUAAAAUGGUAUAUUGUUUUAGAAGAUGAUUUCUUUUUUUGUUCUGAAAAUUUCCAGUAUUUUCUUUAUUAAAAACUAAUGUAUCUUGGUUUAAAAUAGCAUUUUGAUUUAAAAUUUUAUUCCCUGUUUUGUUCUAAAAAAAUUUCAGUAAUUUCUUCAUUAAAGACCGGUGCAUUUUGGUUUAAAUAAACAUUUUGAUUUAGGGAAUUAUUUCCUGUUCUAUUCUGUGUAUUUACAUCAUUUUCUCCAUGAUAUUCAGAAAAUGAAUCAGUCUGAUUUUUUAGAUCAUAGUGCUGCAUUUGGGUAUUUUCCUCAAAUGUUGCUUGUCCUAAAUUUUAUACACAAUGUUCCUUGUGAAAGUUCAAUAACACAUUUGUAAUUAAUGAAGCCUAGCUAUGUUAAUCUACAAGUAAUAAUUCUGUCAUAUAAUAUAUCAUAGCUAUUUUACAUCUAGAAAUAGUUUUCAUAAAUAUUUAGAAUUUUGUGUCAAACCAAUAUCAACUAAGCAUAUCCAUAAAUGAACUUCUUCUAUUGAGUAAAUUGUAUAUUAAAUAUAACUUAUAAAUUUAUUGUUAUAGUCAUUUGAUUUAUUUGAUUCUUAUGAAAAUAAGUAAAAAUUUAAUGGAUUUUUGCAGACCUUUAAUAUUAUUGUUUUUUUUUACCAACAUAUCAAAAUUGUGGAUGUUGUGGUUGCCCACUUCAACAAACUACUCCUAUUGUUCUAUUUUACUUGCAUUCCUAGUGAUCAAUUAACUAGUACCUUAGUCUCAGGAUGUUAGUCUCCCAAAUCUUCAUAUUGGCUAUGACUCAAUUUAGAAGACCCCAAAACAUGUCCAAGAGUGGCUCGAGAUAGCUCAAGCUUGUGUCCUCAUUUUCUGAGCAAAUUAUGACUCAUAUCAUGGAUUUUUCCACUAACGAUAUUAUUAUAAAUAUAGUUGACCUAUGAGAGGAAGUAAGCUUUUUUAAUAUACUAAUAUUCAAGUAUUAUUUGCCUUUAAUUUUUUAUCCUAUCUGUAUUUCUACUUUUUGUUGCCUACUGUUCUUGGUGGGUUACUGUUAUUAGCUAAUUAUCAUCUGCGUGAGCAAUAUUCAGAAGAAGAUUGUCAUCUACUCUCUAUUCUCUGUUAAUUUGCUUCAAUCCUACAUUAGAAGCCUUAAAAGAAUUACUGAAUUAAACAGGACUAAGAGUCAGUAUCAUGAAAUCUAACCAGGCAUUUGUUGUAAUACAGAUGAACUGUUGAAUGCUUCUGGAUUUCUAAACACAUUGUCAUGAGUCUUCCACUCUAUAGCAAGUGUAGUAAAACUUAGAUUGUUAAAAAAUGUGGUCAUAUUAUACAAGGUAAUUCAAUAGUUAAAUUGGGUGUGUAUGGUAUAUUAUUAUUCUGGAUAUUCUCGUAUCAUUACAAGUUUCUUAUGGAAAUACAGUGUCAAACCUGACGAUAUAGGACUUUUUACCAUGACCUAAAAUAACAGAAGAUUUCAUUUUCCGCUCCACAGAGGAGGCAAGAUAGUUGAUUUAGGACCCCCCAAUUGUAAUGCAAUUGUUAUGUCAUAAUCAAUCUGUUUUUAUUUCUCCAUAGAAAAAUGUAGAAUUUUUUAGACAUAUGUUACCCUAUGUUCUUAGACACUGACUCUAAGGUCCUUCGUCCUAAGAGGUACCAUACUUAGUCCUAAAUUUUCUUUUGCAUUUCCUAUCUUUUAUGUGCUAGAGUUUUCAUCUCUACAGUCUAAUCAUUGUUCAAUGUUCUCUUUAUAGUCUAUUAGCUCUUUCCAUUGUACAGAUUCGAAUGUGGGUUUAACUUAGAUAUUUUGGAGUGUUAGGCCUUUAGUGUAUCUCUCAUGCAUCCACCAUGCUAUUAUAGCUUCUUUGAUCGAAAUUGUAGCUAUUUUGUAAUCAACUAAGGAAGGUAGGGAGAUUCAAGGCACCAAAUGAGUAUAUUUCCCUAGUAAUAUCAAGUUUACUAGCUGGAUUCUUACUCAAUAAGAGAGGCAUUUACCACUCCAUAUGGAAAGCAUAUUAGAAUGAUUAUGACACGGAUGAUAAUAAUAUGAUCCUCAAACCAUAUCAAUUAUUAUAGUAUAUGCACACAGAUACACUUUGACUAACCGAUUCUAUUCUAUAGUCUCCACCGCUAACACUCUAACAGCAUAAAGUAAAGUGGUAUUUAUUAAUUUACUUCUAGCUAAUUUCUAGCUUAAUUUACCAUUAAAGUACUCUACUUGAUAGAAAAAUGAAAUAAUGGUGCAUUGAUUGAACCACUAGCAAUAGUGAAUUAAUUUGAGACCAUGGAACAUGCCCACUAUAAAUGGUCUUAUAUUAUCAUGGUAUAUUUCAACUCUAAAAACCUUUAUAGGAUAAAUUAGAGCGGACCUUUAAUAUCAGUGCUUUUUUUUAGCAGCAUUGUUUGUAAGUGUAAAAUAUCUACUUAUUAAUGUAUUUAAACUCAUCAACAUAUAUAUCGAUUAGUCCUGUUUAAAUAUCAAAAACAACAUGACUACCCAAAAUUCUCCUAUAAAGAAUGAUUAAAAUAAAACGUAUUUCAAAAUUGCAAGUUGUAAUAAAUAUGGAAUUUUUAAAAUUAAUUGUAGAUUUCUAAUAUUUUUUGGUUGAUUUUUUUUUAAAAUUUCCGUGUAUUUAAAGAUUUUCUUAAUUUUAAAUAAAUAAUAAUAUGAUUAGUUUACUAUCAUAGAUGUUCAUUUGUUUUAAUAUUGUAUAUUAGCUUUAUUAUUAUAUUAAAUUCUUAAUGGAUGUUGAUAUAAAUCCCUUAAUUUGAUUACCAAAUUCCAAGCUACAUUAUUCAUUAUUGCAUAUCGUCAUUGUGUAACUUACGAUAAAAGAUUAUUUCUAAUAAGACAGAUUUCAUAGUCAUAAGAAUCACAAAAUGAUGAGUGAAGAUAAACGAUUAUAUAAUCUAAUUUAUGUAUCUAAUAUAGCUCAUGUCGGAUUCUAAUUUGAAGAAGGUGAGAGAUCGGAGGUGUGUGUGUGCGAGAGCAGUUAGGGUUCGGAGUCGAGGGGUCGCCGGAUGGGAGCUUGAGACGUUUGGAACCCUAAUAGGGUUUUGUAUUUUGAUAUUUGAAAAAGUUAAAGUAAAAGUUAUUACAAGAACUAUUUAUAUCAUGACCUAAGCUUAAUGGGCCAACAUUGGUUGGGCCUGGUUAUAUCUAAAUAUUAUUUAAUCUAAAAGCAUUAAUCUAAUUACUUAAUCUUAAUACCCCCCCUCAAGCUGGA